This 317-nucleotide long non-coding RNA is filed under the name Elaeis guineensis (African oil palm). RNAcentral describes it as "long non-coding RNA (EGUI_LNC053135)". Lineage: Eukaryota; Viridiplantae; Streptophyta; Magnoliopsida; Arecales; Arecaceae. The record is from RNAcentral.
AAGCUGGCAGUGUUCUUGUGAAGAAAAGGCUACAAUGACACAUCAGUUAGGAAAGACCUUGGCCAACUUCUGUGUGGAUCACCAUUGAAAGAUUUCUACUUUGGAGUCUCAUGGAGAUCAUCAUCUUACCAUACUAUCUUUUGAGGAAGUAUAAUUUGCUAUCUCUUUGCAUGCUUGAUUUUAUUUUGUUCGAUAUCUACAAGGUGUUUCUAAGAUUUGGGUUUCGAUUUGAUAGUUUUAAAUGUUAAAUUUUUCAAUAUAUAUUUUAAAAAUUUUAAAAUUUAUUUUUUACUACAUGAUCAAAACCCAACACGGAU